RNAcentral lists this ribosomal RNA (448 nucleotides) under bacterium AER13D. RNAcentral describes it as "bacterial SSU rRNA". It matches the Rfam family "Bacterial small subunit ribosomal RNA", at positions 68 to 527 of the family's 1533-position model. The record is from RNAcentral.
GAUGAUCCGGUGCUUGCACCGGGGAUUAGUGGCGAACGGGUGAGUAACACGUGAGUAACCUGCCCUUAACUCUGGGAUAAGCCUGGGAAACUGGGUCUAAUACCGGAUAUGACUCCUCAUCGCAUGGUGGGGGGUGGAAAGCUUUAUUGUGGUUUUGGAUGGACUCGCGGCCUAUCAGCUUGUUGGUGAGGUAAUGGCUCACCAAGGCGACGACGGGUAGCCGGCCUGAGAGGGUGACCGGCCACACUGGGACUGAGACACGGCCCAGACUCCUACGGGAGGCAGCAGUGGGGAAUAUUGCACAAUGGGCGCAAGCCUGAUGCAGCGACGCCGCGUGAGGGAUGACGGCCUUCGGGUUGUAAACCUCUUUCAGUAGGGAAGAAGCGAAAGUGACGGUACCUGCAGAAGAAGCGCCGGCUAACUACGUGCCAGCAGCCGCGGUAAUACG